RNAcentral lists this ribosomal RNA (400 nucleotides) under uncultured bacterium. RNAcentral's name for it is "bacterial SSU rRNA". It matches the Rfam family "Bacterial small subunit ribosomal RNA", at positions 103 to 518 of the family's 1533-position model. The record is from RNAcentral.
CGGGUGAGUAACGCGUGGGUAACCUGCCCUAUGGAAAGGAAUAGCCUCGGGAAACUGGGAGUAAUGCCUUAUAAUACAUUGAAGUCGCAUGGCUUUGAUGUUAAACGCUCCGGUGCCAUAGGAUGGACCCGCGUCCCAUCAGCUAGUUGGUGAGAUAACAGCCCACCAAGGCGACGAUGGGUAACCGGUCUGAGAGGGCGAACGGUCACACUGGAACUGAGACACGGUCCAGACUCCUACGGGAGGCAGCAGUGGGGAAUAUUGCGCCAAUGGGGGAAACCCUGACGCAGCAAUACCGCGUGAGUGAAGAAGGUUUUCGGAUCGUAAAGCUCUGUUAUUGGGGAAGAAAAAAGACGGUACCCAAGAAGAAAGUCCCGGCUAACUACGUGCCAGCCGCCGC